This 1919-nucleotide long non-coding RNA is filed under the name Homo sapiens (human). Its description in RNAcentral is "FGF10 antisense RNA 1 (FGF10-AS1)". The record is from RNAcentral. Lineage: Eukaryota; Metazoa; Chordata; Mammalia; Primates; Hominidae.
UGGAAGGGUAAGACCCGAUGCAAGGCAAGGAGAGAGCUCGAGGUGGUGGCUGCUGGUUAGCUCCCUCUGGGCGCGGAUCUGGCCAGAAGUGAAUGCACCAACAUCCAUAACUCCUCGGAAAAGCCGGCUGACUCCCCUCGCUCCUUUCUCGGAUCCGCUGCCUACGCCUCUGGAGCCUCCCGUGCCUGCACCUUUGUAACUGGUUACUUUAUUAAAGUCUCUUCACUUAAAUCAACUGGGAAGAAUUCUGUCCUACUCAGGACACUAACUUCAAACUGCAGUAUAUACCAUCACAGCUUCUUUGGUUUGACAGAACAUUUGGACACAUUUCUGCAAACGGACCCUUGGCAUCUCUUCUUGGAACAAAAUUUUGUAUUUGGACUCUGGCACCAUGCACCACAGAUGCAAGCAAGAAGCACUUCUACCUUCUGAGGCGGCCCCUCAAACUCAAGCCAGCUAGGCUAGGCCUGUCCAGCUUUCCUUCACAAAGAAGGAUUGGAGAGUUGCCGCUUACUGGCUUUCUCAAAUGUCAUUACUUAGCCAGUCUUCUGAAGAUUGAGAUUCAUGAACAUUGGACUCUUGCCUGUAAUUACAAUUCUUAAGUAUAUUAACCUUAUUUUCAGCUGUAUUUUUAGUUGCUUUCUGACUUCAUCUUGAAAAUACCUAUACUCUUUCUGCAUUUAUUCUAAUCUUACUUCUGAUCUUGAUUUUAAAAAGAUCUUUAUCAAUGAAAUCACCUCCAAGAACUAUUUUUGAACUUUAAGAUGUAUUCUUAAAUUUUUAGUAAAAUAGGAUUUAGAAUCAACUUUGUGAAGAUUACUAACAGAAAAAUGAAUAGCUCCUACCAUGAGGCAGUUUAUAGUUAAUGUAAAGAAUAUUAUACUUGUUUAUACAUGAAAAAGCCAUUUUCUUUCUCUAAACCUCAGAGAGCUAUAUAUAUUUAAUGAAUAAAUGAAUGUAUGAUGAAUGAAUUCCUGUCAGUCUUUAGCGAAGUCUUAUCUCUUAUUUGGAAUUCUUUCUUUAUCCCCUAUGUCUUCAUAAAUUCCAACCAAUAUCCAGGAUUAAUUCAAAUUCCUUACAAGGAUCUGAGAAGGGUUGGAGCUGUGGUAUGGGUAUGAUUGGUAGAUAGUUUUGAGCAACACUAUCACCAGAAAAUCUCUAUUUUUCUCCCAGUGACUUUUUGUUGAGGGUUGAAGAGUUUCCUUGAAGGCAAAAAAAAAAAAACUGUACUCAUCCAAAAUGUUACAGAUGUAACUUAUGGUUCAAUAGAAGCCUCUGCAAGCCAGGAUACAGAAAGAAACUUGAACCUUUGCAGAAGCUUGCAGAUUCAGCAACAGAGACUGAGAUAAGAAUGAAAUGGUAAUUCUGGGUAUGGUGUGGUGCCAAGUCCUGAAACCAGUCCCAAUAUACCUACCCUAGAAGCAUGUGGACAUCCUGAGGACAUGAAGGGCUCUAUGUGUGAUCCGGAAAAGGUGUUCCACUAUAUUCUAAAGUAUUUAUGGGCUGUGGUAGGCAGAGAAAAUUAUCCAGCAAAAAUUCAUGAAUUGUUACUGAAAAGUGACUUCUCAGAUAAGUAUUACAUUUCUCAGCUCUCGUCGUCAUUAAGCAUUACCAUGGUGACUCAGAUCUAUCCAGUGGAAUAUUGUAAGAAGUGAUGUUGCUAUUCAAGAUCUGGCUCAUGGAAGUGCUCCUCUGUGAUCUUCUCUCUUUUUUUUCUGCUGCCUAUAAUAAAAACUUCUCCCAGGGAACUUUGGAAGUCUCAUGCAGAAGACAGCAGAAACUUCACCAAUCUGGGUCUCUGUGUGACUGAAAGUAUAAGAGAUGGCAGACCCAUCUACCUGUUCUCUCACCUUUUAGUGUCACAUGAUCAAGAAAUACACUUCUAUUGUCGAGAAAAAAAAAAAAAAAAAAAAAAAAAA